CCCCCCUUCCCAGAGAUCAGAAUUUUUGUUCUUGGAUUCUGCGAGUCCGAGGGACGUUGUUGGUGAUCUGCUCUGCUCUUGGACUGGAUCCGAAGAUCGGACGGCGAAGAACCCACUAAUCAACCGGUUUAUUACGGGAGAGGGGGCUGGCCGGAAGCUAAAUCAGCUUCCCGCUCCGUCCGUGUGUUCUCCCCUCCCCUGUUCUUGCUGAUCAACUUGGUUUCUCUUCUCCUCUGCUAUGUUACUGACAAAGUACUCUAUCAAGUAUGCAUGUAAAUAUUAUUUCUUGGUCGGCUGGUGAAAAUGAAGAACUCACUCCAUGCUUAAGAAUCGCUCUGUUGCUGUGCUUGUGAAUUGUUCAAUGCUUGGUUAGAUAUGUGCCAUUUUUUCGGGAUCAAACAAACUUUCAGAGCUUUAGCCAUGGACACUUGUCCAUUAAGAAAGCCAGCAAGAAAGUACCAACUGCCUUUGUGUACAAGUACAAGUACAAGGUAGGUAUUUUGCC
RNAcentral lists this ribosomal RNA (505 nucleotides) under Triticum aestivum (bread wheat). RNAcentral describes it as "partial small subunit ribosomal RNA". Lineage: Eukaryota; Viridiplantae; Streptophyta; Magnoliopsida; Poales; Poaceae. The record is from RNAcentral.